This 406-nucleotide ribosomal RNA is filed under the name uncultured Chthonomonas sp. Its description in RNAcentral is "bacterial SSU rRNA". It matches the Rfam family "Bacterial small subunit ribosomal RNA", at positions 354 to 774 of the family's 1533-position model. The record is from RNAcentral. Lineage: Bacteria; Bacillati; Armatimonadota; Chthonomonadia; Chthonomonadales; Chthonomonadaceae.
AUUAGGAAUCUUGCGCAAUGGGCGAAAGCCUGACGCAGCGACGUCGCGUGGGGGAGGAAGGCUUUCGGGUUGUAAACCCCUUUUGUCGAGGAAGAAACAAAUGACGGUACUCGACGAAUAAGCCCCGGCUAACUCCGUGCCAGCAGCCGCGGUAAUACGGAGGGGGCUAGCGUUGUCCGAAGUUACUGGGCGUAAAGCGCGCGUAGGCGGGUUGGUAAGUCCGCUGUGAAAGCCCGGAGCUUAACUCCGGAGGGUCGGUGGAUACUGCCAGUCUUGAAGGUGCUAGGGGGAGAUGGAAUUACCGGUGUAGCGGUGAAAUGCGUAGAUAUCGGUAGGAACACCAGUGGCGAAGGCGGUCUCCUGGGGCAUUCUUGACGCUGAGGCGCGAAAGCUGGGGGAGCAAACG